Molecule: long non-coding RNA, 3128 nt
Filed under: Salvia miltiorrhiza (redroot sage)
Lineage: Eukaryota; Viridiplantae; Streptophyta; Magnoliopsida; Lamiales; Lamiaceae
Description: long non-coding RNA (SMIL_LNC012180)
Source: RNAcentral
CCGGAAUGAGAAAAAUAAUUUACUUUAAUUCCAACAAAAAUAAUUUACAAAAUGAUUUGUAAAUUUAGUUAUUAAAUUUUUAUGCAUUGCAUAUUUAUUAAAUUUAACAUUUAGCAUCUACACGAGCUAUUUAAUUAGCAAAUCCUGAAGAAUUAUUACAGUUCGAUAAAUCAACACAGAUAUUUUAUUAGUCAAAUCACCUACACCCUAUGAUAUCCAUCAGCCACCUACCCACCUCCCAUACCUGCAUUACACCUCAUUCAUCACUACCAUACCUGCAUUACACCUCAUUCAUCACUUCACACCAAUCACCCAACACACUUUCAUUUUUAAAGAGAGAGUUGAAGCUUCCUAACUUCAUCAGCCAACCAGUCAAACAGGAGCACAUAGAGUUCAAGUUCAGAGCACAACAAUCACCGAUUCAAGGUUUUACCCCACUAAUUUUUCACAGAUUUUUAUUCCAGCAAUAAGCAUACAAUUUCACAGGCAUGAUAUAUUUUAGUUCCACAAAUCUAUCAGCAAGCUUUCAUCUUUCAUAUAUUCGUGUAUAUAUAUAUAUAUAUAAGCUUAUGUAUAUUUUACUAAAUCAGCAGCCCAUGUUAAAGAACACAUACAUGAAUUUUUGGAAUAGCUUUUCACAAAGUUUUACAUAUACACAAAUGCUUUUAAGAAAAACUGUACUAGUAAAUAAAAGAGAAGAAGAAGAAUGCUAUAUGUUUGUUGGGUGUGUGAGCCGGGUCUGGAGAGGGUCGACGGACGGCGGUGGUGGUGGCUACGAAAGCUGCUACUGCCCGGCCGACGCAGGGGAGUGAUACGGCGGUCGGCGGCGGCUCAUCGCUGUUGUCCAUCCGGCGCAGCAGAGCGAGAGGGAGGUGGCGGCGCCCUCGCCGUUGCCAAGGAGGGAGGCGGACGAGGGGUGGUGUCUGGGCGUGAGCUCAUGGUUGGUGUGUGCGUGAGAUGAGAGGGAGAGAGAUGAAAUGGGGUUGGACGGCGGCUGGAUAGCGGGGCGGUUUAGCGGAGGGAGGCAGGGCACGGCGGCGGUGCCGCUGCUGCCCGGCCACGGCUGGAGAGAGAGGUGGUGUGGUCUGGUCUGGGCUGGGGCCGCGGGGGGUUGAGCGGAGGACGGCGGCAGCCGUGGGUUGCUGUCGCCGGGAAAUUGAUGAGGGAGACCGAGGGAAGCAGCGGCUGCUGCUGCUGCUGCUGUCGGCCGGUUGGGUGAAGGGAAUGGAGCUUCGGCGGCGGUGAAACUUCGAGAGGAAAGAGGGACGAGCAGAUCUCGGAUCAGUCGAGAGAGAGGGUGACUGAUGAGGGAGAGACAGCGGUGACUUGUUGUUGUUGCGUCGCCGGAGAAUAGAGAGUUUGAGGGAUGGCGUCUGUGGGUGUUGGUGCGAUGAGGGAGAUGAGAGAAGGGAGAGCCGAGAGUAUCAGACAGCCUGUCGCCGCUCGCUUCUCCGGCGAGCGUCCGCGGCGGAAGAACUGUCGAGAGAGAGAGACGAGUUGAAGGAGAGUGAGAGAUUGAUGUAUGAACGUGUGCGUGUGAUUUAGGUAGAAGAAGAUGAGUGUGGGCUAGGGCUUGGUUUGAGUUUUGGGCCUAUUUUUAUUUCAGUGGGCUCAUUUAUUUAAAAAGAGCAUUUGGGCCUUCUUAUUUAAUUAAGAAAGCUGGGCCGAUUUUUGGGCUUGAGUGUGGGCCGAUUUAUUUCAAUUAAUUGGGCCAAUGAUUUUGUUUUAAAUUUUCAACUGGGCCUUUAUUAAUUUAUUCAAUUGGGCUGUGCAGCUUCUUUAUUUAAAAUGGACUGCACUAUUUUAAUUAAUUAGACUUAUUAAAGUUUGAUUAAUUAUUUUAAAGAUGAUUUGCAUAAUAAUAUUAUAUUAUUAUUAUGUGCAUAUUUUAAGUGAUUACUUAUUAUAUGCUAAGCAUGACAUGCAUUUGCAUAUGCAUUUUUGCAAAUAAAAGUACUCAUGAUUUAAAUUUGGUUUUUAUUAUAAUUCCAAUUAUUAAAGAAAGUCGAGUAAGAAUAUUGUUGGUGUUCUUAACUCAAGGAUUAAAUGUUUUCAAUUAUUUAUUCAUUAAAUUUUGAAAACCUGGCUAAGUGAAUCAUAGAAUAUUAAGCACUACACCAUGACUUAAGAUUAGCUUCACGAUACCUAUUAAGAAUAGAAUUUCUUGUAGGCUUUGUGACCAGGGGGAUUAGCGCUGUUUUCCCAAGACAGGUUUUUAUGUGUAUGAUCUUCAGGCUUUGCCUAUCCAGGUGGGCUUACUUUCCAAAUGUACAAAGUAUGAUUGAGUUAUUAAGCUCUAAAUGUUUCAAUGAAAUGCAAAUUGUUUAUUUAAUGUAAUGAAAACUGUUUAUCCAAUAAAAUGUUUAUGUGCACUCUGCUCUGUUUAAGGCUCGCACAGUUAAUCAAUUGAGGUUCUCUUAUGACCUAAUACGUUGUUUGAGAAUUGUGUACACUUGUUAGUUGACUCGGUGGGUUGAUCUCCAUCGGGCUCUAACCAGAGGCGUUAUAAGGGUGCUCGGCUGGAUGUGUUCCGGAGCAUGAGAAAUAUAGGCCUCCUGGGUAGCGUCCCGAGGUCAAAGUAACUUGUCUGGGUUACGCCCUCAGUUCAAGUAAGCAGGAGACAGAGAUCCGUCGGUGGCUAAAAGGUCCGGGAUCACAGCGAGUAACAGAAAGGGAGUGUGACAUGUGCGCACAAAUGAAAGAAAAUAUUUUAACAUGCUUAGAAGUUAUUUCAAUUUAAAACCUUCUAAGUCAUGUCAAGUAUGAUUGGAUAAACUGUCUUUAUUAAAAUAUGAAAUGUUUCAGAAAAUGCAUGCCCACUAAGUACAUUAGUACUUAGCCCAAAAAUACUUUCAAAUGUUUUCAGGUUGGCUGGCCGGUGCUGACGGGACGGAGCUGAGGCUAGAGUUAAAUUCCUAUGUUAGACUUCCGCUGUAGCAAUUACUCAUAUCAGUCUUUUGUUUUCCCAACUUAAGAUCUUCAUGUUAAAUUUCAAAUGAUAUACCUGACAGAGCUUAGACUCUUCACUACUAAAUUUAUGCCAAUGAAUGUCGGUUGUCAGAAGCAUGAAACAAAACUUGUGAUCCAAAGGGGCAUAGCCCGACUUUCUAUCCUAUUUCGGGUUUUUA